GGAAGAGUAUGAAAAAAAUAUGGAGACAUAAAAGUAGUUAUGUAAGUAAAAUAUAUGGUCUUCAGUUUUUGAAGGACUGGGCACCUAAUCUGUAUUCUUUCUGUCUAACUCUCUUCCUGUCAUCAUUCUAGAUGUGAAACAUUGGAAUGGAUGGGUGAAAACAACAUCUUGAGCUCAUGUUUAAUGAUCUACCACAGCCAUAUCUUGGGACCUGGGAUUUUCUCCACUUCUUCUAAAGUGCAAUUGGCAAUAAGGUCAUGGAGGUUUUGAACCGGAGAGUUAAUAUGAAAACCAUGUAUCAUGCUUUGAGAAGACGAAUCUGGUCACAUCAAAGGGUAAGACAAUGUGAAGAGCAAGGAGAAGAGCAACUUCUCCAGUUCAAGUUCUGGCUCCAGCCCAAAUGCAGAUGCAAGCAGGAUUCCAGGGUUGGAGAGCUACAAGGAAUGAAAAGAAAUACAAAAUAUGUGUUGGGAACCUAUGCAACAAGAUGUAGAGGAAGAAGUUAAGCCUGGAGUGUGUGUUAUAGAAGUGUUUGCUGAUAGGUUGAAAAUAAUUGGAGAAGGUGUGAUCUGAGAGGGCUAAAAAAUGUGAACCUAAGAUGAAAGGUAGGCUCUUAGAGUGGGGAAAAGGCUAGAGAAAGCCUCAUCCUUUGCUCAGAAAAGAUCAAUGACUGUUGAGUGUCGAUGUUCAGUAUGGCUUCCGUUCUCCUCCCUUUUAAAAAAUACAGCUUUAUUGAGUAACAAUUGACAUACAAUAAACUGCAUAUAUUUAAGGUGUAGAAUUUGAUAAGUUUUGAAAUAUGUAUACAUCUGUGAAAUCAUCACUCCCCAAAAGUGUCCUCAUGCCCCUUUGUAACCUCUUUCUCCUGACCCUCACUGCCACCCCAACUCUGUCCCCAGGCAAACACUCAUCUAUAUUCUGCCAUUACAGAUUCGUUUAAAUUUUCUAGAAUUCCAUAUAAAUGAAGUAACACAAUAUAUUCACCCUUUGGGUUGACUUUUUUCACUCAACAAAAGUAUUUUGAGAUUUAUAC
This 1033-nucleotide long non-coding RNA is filed under the name Macaca mulatta (Rhesus monkey). RNAcentral describes it as "lncRNA (ENSMMUG00000054344.1)". The record is from RNAcentral. Lineage: Eukaryota; Metazoa; Chordata; Mammalia; Primates; Cercopithecidae.